Non-coding RNA from Danio aesculapii, 357 nucleotides. The record is from the annotation of a RefSeq genome assembly. NCBI's taxonomy places the organism in Eukaryota, Metazoa, Chordata, Actinopteri, Cypriniformes, Danionidae.
AUGAACACACACUUGCUUCUGCUUUUACUCAUGAUUUCAGGUGUGACGAAUGCAGAUCAGAUUGGACCAAAUAAGGGUGAAAAUGUCAUCAGUAAAGAGGGAGAGACUGCUACAUUCAGCUGUUCGUAUGAUACAAGCAGCAGAUAUGUUAGCCUUUACUGGUACAGACAAUAUAUUAACAAAGAACUUCAAUAUUUAAUAUGGAAAGAUGCUCGAUCAUGGAGUGGUGUGGCGACUCCUGAUGAUCCUCGCAUUCGGUCUACAACAUCAGAAACCACCACUGAACUCACUAUAACUGGUGUAACUCUGUCAGAUUCAGCUCUCUAUUAUUGUGCUCUGAGAGUUGGAGCCCAGUGA